Long non-coding RNA from Canis lupus familiaris (dog), 1126 nucleotides. RefSeq lists it as uncharacterized. The transcript has 5 exons. The record is from RefSeq and is a predicted model, not a curated record. Lineage: Eukaryota; Metazoa; Chordata; Mammalia; Carnivora; Canidae.
CCUGCUUCCCGCGAGAACAUCUGCUGAGAGGAACAGCUGUCUCCACCCUGUGCUGAGCGGCUCCCGUGGGAACGUGGUGUGCAGUUGGCAGAGGCACGACGCAGCUCCUCGGCCCCUCGCCGCCAUUUUCUGGGCGUGGGGGGGGCAGUGCUCAGAGUUCUGGGGCCUUUGUCACAUCUGUCAGCGGCCGUUUCUCUGGGGCCACACUGUGCCCUCUUCCCAUUCUUUCCUUCUUUAAUUUCUGGGAGGUCUGGAGGGGAUAGGGCCAGGUUGGUUGGGAGCACUGCGGUCAUAAGGUCUGGGGAGCCGGAGGGCUCUGGUGUCUGGAAACCAGGCCUCUCAGGUGGCCGCGGGAAUUAGGUGGUCGGAGGCCCGAGCUGGCUGCGUGGGGCUCGGUGGUGCCAGGGGUGACAUACCCGAGCAAAGGUUUUCAGAUCCUCCAAAAUUUGCCUGUAGACGGAAUCUAAAGUAUAUGGAAUAUCUUGUGAUCAACUUUUUCAUGCACUGUCAUUUUGUAUGGCUUUUCCCAUGGAACUGCACAGUCUGCAAUAUAAUCCUUCACGGUCAGGAUUGGGCUGUUUACUGUGUAUAUACAAAUUACGCAGACAUGCGGACAUGGUUCAGAUCUCAUCAGGCCCAGGCUGCUGAAUUUGUCAAUGGCAGAGACCCAAGUAAAGCUCUGAGGGACUUUAUCACUUGCAUAACUGGGAAGUCUACAGAGGGGGAUGCUAUUAGCUGAUCACAACCAGGUUGUUUCCACUGUUGACUAUUAUAAAUGUAUCGACAUGACUACAGAUGAGCUUAGAUCUUGCAGUAUAUCACAAUUAUCUUAAUGGGUCUGGAGGAUGAGACCCCAUCCAGAAGCAGCCUGGAUCAGGAACUCGUAGGGCGAAGGCAUCAACCUCAGAUCUGUCAGGACCUGGGCUUCUCCCUGAGCACAUGGGGCUCAGCCCCUUACCGAUUCUGCCUUUGGAGCCCAAGAUCAAGGAGACAGCAAUAAACAGUCUUAUGGGGCAGCCUGGGUGGCUCAGUGGUUUAGCGCCACCUUCAGCCCAGGGCCUGAUCCUGGAGACCCGAGAUUGAGUCCCAUGUCAGGCUCCCUGCAUGGAGCCUGCUUCUCCCUCUG